RNAcentral lists this long non-coding RNA (2251 nucleotides) under Gallus gallus (chicken). Its description in RNAcentral is "lncRNA (ENSGALG00000047008.2)". The record is from RNAcentral. Lineage: Eukaryota; Metazoa; Chordata; Aves; Galliformes; Phasianidae.
UAUUUCUGAGCUUGUUUAACAGAAGCAGAUUUGCAAAUGACUUUGGAUUCAGCAGGAAGAUAAUUUUAUGGGGCACUUGGACUUGGAAGUAGGCGUUUUGCAGAUUAAAGCAUAUGGUGUUCGAAUCCUCCCUGUCUGUCAUCAGGAACAGAUGAUGCCAGCCCACUCAAGCCUUUAGGCUCUAUGGCACUUCGUAGAGUUUCUGCCUUUAGCUGAAUCUUACCAUUAUCGCUGAGAACCCUUAGAACUGCAACUAAAACUGCGUUGUUGUAUCAUGCCAUUCGAAGGAGAACUGAGUCCAUCUGUAUCCACUAAUUUUUAAAGUCAACAGGCCAGCAGUACCCAGUUAACCGAGAUGUCAACACUGUGGAGUUGUAGGUCAUAUUUCAUCAUCUAGAAGGAUACACUGCUGCCAGGCUUGCAGUUUUCCAUACGUGCACUCACACCUGCGUCCUCAAAUCUACUCACAGAAGAGGAAGGAGUUAAUGACUGCGACUGGCUGCAUGAACUCUCCAGCCUCUCCCAGGACUUCCCAAAGCAGAUGAUUUUUUUACGUCUCUGUGCCUGCAUUAAAGGGAAGGGCAAUAAGAAAAUGAGAUAAGCAUGUUUUCAAAACUCAAGCCAUAUCUACUUUGUGACAGAAUAAACCAAGCACCAUAACCAGAACAAACCAGUGACCAUGCUUCAGCUGCAUCUCAGACUGCCAGCCACUGCCAGGAAGAAGUGUCUGAAGGUGUUACAGUGGGUCAUCCUUGCUCGUCUUACACUGGCAGCAUAUAUGGAUUCGGAGUUGUGUCAUCGUUUUUUCAGAUCUGUCAUUAUGAAGAAAAGGCUGCAGUGCAUCCUGGCCAAAUCUAAGCACGUAUUAUGAUCUUAUCUCAGCUUUUGGAAAUUCUUCUGUAAUGUCCAGGGCAAAAUAAUGAAACUGUGACCUGUGAAUGGAGUGAAGCUCACUUUUGUGCUGCUCUGCCUUCAUCUGAAUGAAAUUCAACUGUUGGUUACGCUUUAAAAAGAAAAGGUUUUCCACUGUCUGAUCUCUUCAUUGGUCUGAAUCUGAACAGUGGUUCCUAACAGACUGAAGCUUCAAGGAGUGAACUUGGAAUCAGAACCACGCCUUGGAAAAUCUGGUCACUUGAGACGGAAUAGAUAAUAAUCUUAAAAGUAUGUUUUUAUCCUUUUCAUUAAUUAUAUUUCUACAUUCUGGACCAAAUGACAUUCUGUAACUUCAGUGAACUCAAUGUUCGUUUUGACAUAACGUCUUCUCUUUUUGAGGUUCUCAUAUGCUUGUCUCUAAUAUUUAUUUUUAGAAAUGUAUAUCAAUUCUCUGCUUCUCUCUUAAGUCUGCUCUCCCAGAGCACCCCCAGCAUUGCUCAUGGCUCAGCUCUGGCAGCAGUAGGUCUCUUUUGGAGCAGCUGGAGCUGGGUUUGAUCUGACACAGAGCAGUGCUGGGCUCUGCUCACAGAGGACGCCCCUGCAGCUCCCUACUACUUAAACUUUGGCAGAUAAACCCAAGACAGCCAGAAAAAUUACUUUGCAGAUUUUGAUACAUGAAAAAAAAAUAAAAAAGAAAAAAGAGAGAGAGACGGAGAUAGAGUGUAUCACAACACAAUCAAAUGUGGUAAGUAGGACUGUGUUUUGUUUCCAAUUUACAAAUAGCAAAUUGGAUUUAAUGGACUGUGGAAAUACAGUGCAAAAAGAUAAAUCUGGAGCUUUAACUUGGAAACAAAAGGCUCGAUUCAAUGCUCACUUGACAGUGGUUUCAUUCCAUAUUCCACCAUAUGCUAUUGUAUGUUGCUAUAAAAUUUUUUUAUUUGUAAAGCAGUUUUGCUUUCUUGUAAUAUGAGUCCUCACUGAAAAGAAAUCAUGGACUGUCCAUCACAAAUCUAUUGAAGAAAUACAUUCCUGUGUUUGGAGAAAUUGCUAAGGAUCUUAUUCUCAGAAGUUCCAUGUUAUGGGUCAGAAAUCUGUAUGCUGCGCUGUACGCUCUGAAUCCCCAGAAAUUUUCUGCCUCUCAUUUUUUUUUGUUGUGGAUCCUUUGAAGUUUUAUGAUAGUUAUUCUUCACAAAAUCACUCUCAAACACUAUUGGCUUGAAAUAUUUUGUUCACACAAAGAACCAUGCCCUCUGAAUUCUCAUAACUGUUAGCUAUUAAAUUAGCUGAACAUACGUUAACUACAAUUUUCAUAGUCAAUUAUUAAUGAUCAUUUUAAUCCAUGUACUGUAUUGCUUUGCUAAAUGAAACUGCUGUGAAG